GGGCCCGCACAAGCGGUGGAGCAUGUGGUUCAAUUCGAAGCAACGCGCAGAACCUUACCAGCCCUUGACAUGUCCUCUAUGGAUUCCAGAGACGGAGUCCUUCACUUCGGGUGGGAGGAACACAGGUGCUGCAUGGCUGUCGUCAGCUCGUGUCGUGAGAUGUUGGGUUAAGUCCCGCAACGAGCGCAACCCUCGCCCUUAGUUGCCAUCAUUUAGUUGGGCACUCUAAGGGGACUGCCGGUGAUAAGCCGGAGGAAGGUGGGGAUGACGUCAAGUCCUCAUGGCCCUUACGGGCUGGGCUACACACGUGCUACAAUGGCGGUGACAGAGGGAUGCAAAGGGGCGACCCUUCGCAAAUCUCAAAAAGCCGUCUCAGUUCGGAUUGGGGUCUGCAACUCGACCCCAUGAAGUUGGAAUCGCUAGUAAUCGCAGAUCAGCACGCUGCGGUGAAUACGUUCCCGGGCCUU
RNAcentral lists this ribosomal RNA (467 nucleotides) under uncultured bacterium. RNAcentral's name for it is "bacterial SSU rRNA". It matches the Rfam family "Bacterial small subunit ribosomal RNA", at positions 917 to 1382 of the family's 1533-position model. The record is from RNAcentral.